UGGGGAAUUUUGGACAAUGGGCGAAAGCCUGAUCCAGCAAUGCCGCGUGUGUGAAGAAGGCCUUCGGGUUGUAAAGCACUUUUGUCCGGAAAGAAAUCCUUGGCUCUAAUACAGUCGGGGGAUGACGGUACCGGAAGAAUAAGCACCGGCUAACUACGUGCCAGCAGCCGCGGUAAUACGUAGGGUGCAAGCGUUAAUCGGAAUUACUGGGCGUAAAGCGUGCGCAGGCGGUUUGCUAAGACCGAUGUGAAAUCCCGGGCUCAACCUGGGAACUGCAUUGGUGACUGGCAGGCUAGAGUAUGGCAGAGGGGGGUAGAAUUCCACGUGUAGCAGUGAAAUGCGUAGAGAUGUGGAGGAAUACCGAUGGCGAAGGCAGCCCCCUGGGCCAAUACUGACGCUCAUGCACGAAAGCGUGGGGAGCAAACAGGAUUAGAUACCCUGGUAGUCCACGCCCUAAACGAUGUCAACUAGUUGUUGGGGAUUCAUUUCCUUAGUAACGUAGCUAACGCGUGAAGUUGACCGCCUGGGGAGUACGGUCGCAAGAUUAAAACUC
Molecule: ribosomal RNA, 553 nt
Filed under: uncultured bacterium
Lineage: Bacteria
Description: partial 16S ribosomal RNA
Rfam family: Bacterial small subunit ribosomal RNA
Source: RNAcentral